Molecule: non-coding RNA, 246 nt
Organism: Paramuricea clavata
Lineage: Eukaryota; Metazoa; Cnidaria; Anthozoa; Malacalcyonacea; Plexauridae
Source: the annotation of a GenBank genome assembly
UGAGCACAAAGUGUAACUCCAGUUGUUCAUAUAGACCUACGUGGGACCCACGGCGCGUGUUUGUAAACAAUAUAUUAGCAAAUAUCACUGCGAAACUGUUCUUUUAAUGCGUUAAAACGUCGCUUUUGAGCCAGAGACUUUUCGGAUCUUAAAAUUUAAAGGUAAGUAAGCUUUUUUCUUGUGAAAUAGCAUCCUCAAAUGCUGUCUGUGUGCUUCAAUUAACCCACCAUGCCGCACUUGUCAGGG